GAUGAACGCUGGCGGCGUGCCUAAUACAUGCAAGUCGAGCGAACAGACGAGGAGCUUGCUCCUCUGACGUUAGCGGCGGACGGGUGAGUAACACGUGGAUAACCUACCUAUAAGACUGGGAUAACUUCGGGAAACCGGAGCUAAUACCGGAUAAUAUAUUGAACCGCAUGGUUCAAUAGUGAAAGACGGUUUUGCUGUCACUUAUAGAUGGAUCCGCGCCGCAUUAGCUAGUUGGUAAGGUAACGGCUUACCAAGGCAACGAUGCGUAGCCGACCUGAGAGGGUGAUCGGCCACACUGGAACUGAGACACGGUCCAGACUCCUACGGGAGGCAGCAGUAGGGAAUCUUCCGCAAUGGGCGAAAGCUUGACGGAGCAACGCCGCGUGAGUGAUGAAGGUCUGCGGAUCGUAAAACUCUGUUAUUAGGGAAGAACAAAUGUGUAAGUAACUAUGCACGUCUGGACGGUACCUAAUCAGAAAGCCACGGCGAACUACGU
This 496-nucleotide ribosomal RNA is filed under the name uncultured bacterium. RNAcentral describes it as "partial 16S ribosomal RNA". It matches the Rfam family "Bacterial small subunit ribosomal RNA", at positions 28 to 506 of the family's 1533-position model. The record is from RNAcentral.